UACGUAGGGCGCAAGCGUUGUCCGGAAUUAUUGGGCGUAAAGAGCUCGUAGGCGGUCUGUCGCGUCGGCUGUGAAAACCCGAGGCUCAACCUCGGGCCUGCAGUCGAUACGGGCAGACUAGAGUGCUGUAGGGGAGACUGGAAUUCCUGGUGUAGCGGUGAAAUGCGCAGAUAUCAGGAGGAACACCGGUGGCGAAGGCGGUCCGCUGGGGUGUUGCUGACGCUGAGGAGCGAAAGCGUGGGGAGCGAACAGG
This 253-nucleotide ribosomal RNA is filed under the name uncultured bacterium. RNAcentral's name for it is "partial 16S ribosomal RNA". It matches the Rfam family "Bacterial small subunit ribosomal RNA", at positions 524 to 776 of the family's 1533-position model. The record is from RNAcentral.